Molecule: transfer RNA, 87 nt
Filed under: bacterium
Lineage: Bacteria
Also listed under: 1 other name
Description: tRNA-Leu
Rfam family: tRNA
About the family: Transfer RNA (tRNA) molecules are approximately 80 nucleotides in length. Their secondary structure includes four short double-helical elements and three loops (D, anti-codon, and T loops).
Source: RNAcentral
GCCGGAGUGGUGAAAUUGGUAGACGCAGGGGACUCAAAAUCCCCCGGCCGCAAGGCCGUGCGGGUUCGAUUCCCGCCUCCGGCACCA